GCCAGCAGCCAUGUCACCCUGCAACUUUCAAUUAACAGCCCAAUGAAGCAAAGCAGGGCUGAGCCUGGCCAGUACCUGGAUGGGAGACCUGGGAAAAACUAAGGUUGCUGCUGGAA
This 116-nucleotide ribosomal RNA is filed under the name Lepisosteus oculatus (spotted gar). Lineage: Eukaryota; Metazoa; Chordata; Actinopteri; Semionotiformes; Lepisosteidae. The record is from RNAcentral.